AUGGGAGCGCUCGAGGAGGCGCACCUCGCCGCCGUCGCCGCCUGCGGGUGCGACGAGGAGGAGGAGGAAGAUCUCCUGGUGGAGGUCGGCGGCGGGGAGGCGCCGGGGGACGCCAUGGAGCCGGCGGUGCGCGCGCUGCUGGCGGGGCUCGGCGAGGACGACCGCCGGGAGGGGCUGCGCCGGACGCCCAAGCGCGUCGCCAAGGCCUUCCGCGACGGCACCCGAGGUUACAGACAGAAAGUAAAAGACAUUGUGCAGGGUGCUCUGUUUCCUGAGGUUGGUGUUGACAAAAGGACUGGUUCUGCUGGAGGAACUGGAGGGCAAGUUGUUGUUCGUGAUAUCGAUCUUUAUUCAUACUGUAAAUCUUGCUUGCUUCCGUUCAGCAUACAAUGCCAUGUUGGAUAUGUGCCCUCCGGUGGAAGGGUCGUUGGGUUAAGCAAGCUUUCAAGGGUAGCUGACGUCUUUGCCAAGAGAUUUCAAAACCCUCAGAGAUUAGCUAAUGAAGUUUGUGGUGCAUUGCAUGCUAGCAUACAACCUGCUGGUGUUGCUGUUGCUAUGCAGUGCUGGCACAUACCGUUGCCGGAGAACUUUAAAUGCAAAAAUUCGGGAGCUUUGAUUAGAACUUCACAUUCAUCUCGCUCGGGAGUUUUUGAGGGUGAGAACAGCUCUUUUUGGAAUGAUUUUGUGGCUCUUCUUAAGCUUAGAGGCAUAGACAUGGAGAUGGACAGCCGUUCUGCUUCUUUAACUUGGUGCCCCUUAAGGCCUCAUGAGGUUCCGCUUUGCAAUGGGCACGCAAAGAGGAUUACAACUAAUGGUGCUAGCUCAGCAAAAUCGGCAUCCAUUCCAUCUAAUAUGGUUUCUGCUGUCAGCUCAAUGCUCUUGUCUCUUGGUGAGGACCCCCUCAGGAAAGAACUUCUAGGCAGUCCUCAGCGUUACGUGCAAUGGCUGAUGAGGUUCAGAGCAUGCAAUCUUGAUGUGAAGCUGAAUGGUUUUACAUUUAACAGUGCAAGUGUAUAUGAGAGACCAGGCGAAGAUGCUACUGAUCAUCGAGCAUUUAGUUCUGAGCUGCAUUUGCCAUUUUGUGCCCAGUGCGAGCACCACCUCCUGCCGUUCUACGGAGUAGUGCACAUUGGUUACUUUGGCAGUGGAGACGGUGAAGGGAUCAACCGCUCACAUUUUCAGGCUCUGGUUCAUUUCUACGGGUGCAAGCUUCAGGUUCAGGAAAGGAUGACAAGACAGAUAGCUGAAGCAGUUUAUUCCGUCUCACACCGUGGAGCCAUAGUUGUUGUGGAAGCCAACCACAUCUGCAUGAUAUCAAGGGGGAUAGAGAAAAUCAGGAGUAGUACAGCGACGAUUGCAGUUUUGGCAAGGCAGGUACUGCGACGACUCUUAUGGUUUGAAGUUCUCAUACAGCUGUGGCAUGGUGCCAUUUUACCAUUGCUGGUGGGAGCGACGAGUGUCUCGUCGUGUGGAAUGUUGUGUCUGAAGAAGAUGUAA
RNAcentral lists this ribosomal RNA (1497 nucleotides) under Triticum aestivum (bread wheat). Its description in RNAcentral is "partial small subunit ribosomal RNA". Lineage: Eukaryota; Viridiplantae; Streptophyta; Magnoliopsida; Poales; Poaceae. The record is from RNAcentral.